GGCUCCAUGGUCAAGCGGUUAAGACACCAGCCUCUCACGCUGGUUUCCCGGGUUCGAAUCCCGGUGGAGUCACCA
RNAcentral lists this transfer RNA (75 nucleotides) under Anaerococcus degeneri. RNAcentral's name for it is "tRNA-Glu". It matches the Rfam family "tRNA". Rfam says of the family: Transfer RNA (tRNA) molecules are approximately 80 nucleotides in length. Their secondary structure includes four short double-helical elements and three loops (D, anti-codon, and T loops). The record is from RNAcentral. RNAcentral also lists the same sequence under 7 other names. Lineage: Bacteria; Bacillati; Bacillota; Tissierellia; Tissierellales; Peptoniphilaceae.